Molecule: long non-coding RNA, 471 nt
Filed under: Cricetulus griseus (Chinese hamster)
Lineage: Eukaryota; Metazoa; Chordata; Mammalia; Rodentia; Cricetidae
Description: lncRNA (ENSCGRG00015036351.1)
Source: RNAcentral
CAUAGAGGAACAGACAGUUUUAGCCUUAGGGGAUUAGAAGUGCUAACAUCAGAAUGACUUAAAGCUUGUCAUCAGUAUCUCUGCUCUGGGUAACAGUGGAACUGGCUCAGAGCUGGCCACUUUGAGUGACUGCUGGACUUUAAAGCCAAAGGGGACUUGAGAACUGUGAGAAGGAUAAUUCCCAGGAAUAGAUAACAUCUACCACGAUGAUGGGAACGAGAAUUUACAGAGUUCCCUGGAAUUUGCACAGUUGAUACAUCUGAGUUACAGUCUCUCUGGGUCGCCAGAGCAAAUGGCCUACUUGAAGCACAUGAGUCACUGGGAGGCACAGUUGCUCAACAGCCAGUUACUGAUGCAAUGACACAUAUGGACCUCAAAGCCAAAGACUAUCUUCUUUCUCGUCAUUUCUACAGCUUUGGAAGUAGCAUUUCCCCCAGGCAUAGCCACCCUAAUAAAAUUAUACACAGAAGC